Molecule: ribosomal RNA, 490 nt
Filed under: uncultured bacterium
Lineage: Bacteria
Description: partial 16S ribosomal RNA
Rfam family: Bacterial small subunit ribosomal RNA
Source: RNAcentral
AUUGAACGCUGGCGGCAGGCCUAACACAUGCAAGUCGAACGGUAACAGGAAACAGCUUGCUGUUUCGCUGACGAGUGGCGGACGGGUGAGUAAUGUCUGGGAAACUGCCUGAUGGAGGGGGAUAACUACUGGAAACGGUAGCUAAUACCGCAUAACGUCGCAAGACCAAAGAGGGGGACCUUCGGGCCUCUUGCCAUCGGAUGUGCCCAGAUGGGAUUAGCUAGUAGGUGGGGUAACGGCUCACCUAGGCGACGAUCCCUAGCUGGUCUGAGAGGAUGACCAGCCACACUGGAACUGAGACACGGUCCAGAUUCCUACGGGAGGCAGCAGUGGGGAAUAUUGCACAAUGGGCGCAAGCCUGAUGCAGCCAUGCCGCGUGUAUGAAGAAGGCCUUCGGGUUGUAAAGUACUUUCAGCGGGGAUGAAGGGAGUAAAGUUAAUACCUUUGCUCAUUGACGUUACCCGCAGAAGAAGCACCGGCUAACUCCGUG